AUACUUCUGCGGAUAUUCUACAAGCUUCAUUACAUGUUUGAUUUAUGAGACAUUGUAGGAAAAUUAUUUCACAACAGAUUGUUUUAAUGACUUUCUACUAGAAUUAUGGUUUUCUUUUCCUCCUCUUUUCUUCUUUCAAUUGUUUCUCGGCAAACAAACAGACCAAUAAUACGAAUUUAGCAUACAUGCUCUACAUUUUCUGACGGCAAGCGUAAAUAUGAUCGGCGUGAAAGAAUCUUUGCGGCAUAGGGUUUCAGCCAAGAACGUGCCAAGAUCUUGAAGGGUGACAAUGGACAGUGAAGACAGCGAUUGCUUAUCCAGUUUUCAUGUUUGGUUUGUAAGGGGAACAAACACCAGUAAAUCACCUCUUCCGUAUUUCCAUUAUUACUAUUAUGGACUUGGAUAUAGAAGUAAGUACCUGAGGAUUUGUAAGCAAAAUACAGCCUUAUCUUUAAUCUCUGUGAUUUUGGAACUUGAGUGGAGUUAGAACUGAUGCCAAAUAUGAGAAUGUCAUUUUGCUGAUUUUCAUUUGGAGAGAGAGGGAACUCUAUAACAGAAAUACUAGAGAUUAUAUUACUGGUUGAACUAUGAAUAUGGAGGGAGCAUACUUGACUUUCCCCUAUAUACAGAUAGUUAUAGUUACCUACUCUUUUGUUUGGAUUCUCAUGUAUCCAACUAUAAAAAAUUGAAUCCC
This is a non-coding RNA of Jatropha curcas, 694 nucleotides long. NCBI's taxonomy places the organism in Eukaryota, Viridiplantae, Streptophyta, Magnoliopsida, Malpighiales, Euphorbiaceae. The record is from RefSeq and is a predicted model, not a curated record.